This 477-nucleotide ribosomal RNA is filed under the name Salmonella enterica. RNAcentral describes it as "bacterial LSU rRNA". It matches the Rfam family "Bacterial large subunit ribosomal RNA", at positions 1192 to 1587 of the family's 2925-position model. Lineage: Bacteria; Pseudomonadati; Pseudomonadota; Gammaproteobacteria; Enterobacterales; Enterobacteriaceae. The record is from RNAcentral.
CACCGAAGCUGCGGCAGCGAACGUAUCACUUAAAGCGAUUCAGCGGGUUACGAUUGACGGAGCGAAGCGACGUCAAAGCGUAUACAAAGUCGAGUCGGUUUAAGGAUACGUUCGUUGGGUAGGGGAGCGUUCUGUAAGCCUGUGAAGGUGUGUCGUGAGGCAUGCUGGAGGUAUCAGAAGUGCGAAUGCUGACAUAAGUAACGAUAAAGCGGGUGAAAAGCCCGCUCGCCGGAAGACCAAGGGUUCCUGUCCAACGUUAAUCGGGGCAGGGUGAGUCGACCCCUAAGGCGAGGCCGAAAGGCGUAGUCGAUGGGAAACAGGUUAAUAUUCCUGUACUUGGUGUUACUGCGAAGGGGGGACGGAGAAGGCUAUGUUGGCCGGGCGACGGUUGUCCCGGUUUAAGCGUGUAGGUGUGUGUUCCAGGUAAAUCCGGUUCACUUUAACACUGAGGCGUGAUGACGAGGCACUACGGUGCUG